GCUAAGUGGCUAACGUUGCCCUUCACGGGCGACGUUAGCCAUUUAGCACUUUCCAGUCCACAUGUAGCCUGUUUCGAUGGAGCUUAAUGAAAAGUGAUUGAAGAGGGCAUGGGGGCCGAAUGACUGGAGGCAACCGCGAUGGUCGCCGCUGCUGGCGCGGCUCUGAUCGCCACAGUAUUCUGUGUUAAGAAACUCUAAGCUCGGAGCGAGAAUCGAAUGAUUCUUAAUAUAUGUAUGUCCUGCGACUUCACCCACGUGACUGAAGAGGAGCAGUCAAGCGUGUGCGUCGAAUGACUGGAGGCGACCGUAAAGAUAGCUGUCGCUGGAAUGACUCUGAUCGCCACGGUAUUCUACAUCAGGACGUGCAAAGCUUGGGAGGAUAACCAGGGGUUCACCCUAACUUGGUACCGCGGGCUGAUGCAGUAUACAACGCGUCCAGCGCCGCCGCCACGCGUGCUGGCGGGCUGUGAUCCCGCGGUACCGCCGGAGCCCUGACCAGCCGAUCAACACUCGUUCUACGCUCGUAUAAAGUGGAAACAGUGAUUGAUUGUGACUGGAACGAAACUGGACUGGACUGUAAUGUGAACACACAUGUUUUAUCACAUGUCAACACACAAUGUAUCGAACACACAACACGAUGUGGAUAAUUGACUAAUUCUUGGCGUAUAAUAUUUGUAAUGUACUAUGUUUAAAAUUAAUUGUAAACCUCACCUUGUUAGGAUUAUAAACGACAAACCUGAACUUUAUAAUACGACUAUCUUAUAUCGCAUGUGUAUAUAUUUAGCUUUUUUUUUUGUAGUCGUUCCUAUUUUAGAAUUAAGUUGAUAUUAAAAAAAAAACAUUAAGAAAUGCAACCCUCUCUAAGUCUCACAGCACUAUAAAUGACGUAUUUGUAUUACUAUUGUAUAUUGUAUGUCUAUGUUAUAUAUUUUUUUUUG
Molecule: long non-coding RNA, 938 nt
Organism: Galleria mellonella (greater wax moth)
Lineage: Eukaryota; Metazoa; Arthropoda; Insecta; Lepidoptera; Pyralidae
Exons: 4
Source: RefSeq, a predicted model, not a curated record